This 200-nucleotide long non-coding RNA is filed under the name Homo sapiens (human). RNAcentral describes it as "HSALNT0047006". Lineage: Eukaryota; Metazoa; Chordata; Mammalia; Primates; Hominidae. The record is from RNAcentral.
CCAGACAUAUCCUCUCUGACGCUAUGGGGUUUCUUCUCCUUAGAGCUCUUCUCUGAGGUUCCCAUUCUGGGCCGGAGCCCUCUCAGGAGUGAGUGGAUGGGCCUGGCUGUCAAAGAAAGGUUCCAGUCUCUUCCUCCCCAUGUGCCCUGCUUUGCCAGGUGGGUCAGGGCAGGCUGGAGGAAGGAGGGUCAGUCCUGGCU